Molecule: ribosomal RNA, 497 nt
Filed under: uncultured bacterium
Lineage: Bacteria
Description: partial 16S ribosomal RNA
Rfam family: Bacterial small subunit ribosomal RNA
Source: RNAcentral
GAUGAACGCUGGCGGCGUGCCUAAUACAUGCAAGUCGAGCGAACAGACGAGGAGCUUGCUCCUCUGACGUUAGCGGCGGACGGGUGAGUAACACGUGGAUAACCUACCUAUAAGACUGGGAUAACUUCGGGAAACCGGAGCUAAUACCGGAUAAUAUAUUGAACCGCAUGGUUCAAUAGUGAAAGACGGUUUUGCUGUCACUUAUAGAUGGAUCCGCGCCGCAUUAGCUAGUUGGUAAGGUAACGGCUUACCAAGGCGACGAUGCGUAGCCGACCUGAGAGGGGGAUCGGCCACACUGGAACUGAGACACGGGCCAGACUCCUACGGGAGGCAGCAGUAGGGAAUCUUCCGCAAUGGGCGAAAGCCUGACGGAGCAACGCCGCGUGAGUGAUGAAGGUCUUCGGAUCGUAAAACUCUGUUAUUAGGGAAGAACAAAUGUGUAAGUAACUAUGCACGUCUUGACGGUACCUAAUCAGAAAGCCACGGCUAACUACGUG